Dreissena polymorpha is the source of this 992-nucleotide long non-coding RNA. RefSeq lists it as uncharacterized. NCBI's taxonomy places the organism in Eukaryota, Metazoa, Mollusca, Bivalvia, Myida, Dreissenidae. The transcript has 4 exons. The record is from RefSeq and is a predicted model, not a curated record.
AGUGCGUUCAGUAAGUAUAACGUUUCAAGAUGGCGGAGCGAAUUGCAUGGUUAUUGUUUCUACUCGAUGGAUUCGCAGAUAAUUCGGAAAUAGAUCAGAUUGGGAUCAAUAACUGUAUUGCAUACGAUCAUUUACAUGUAUUACCAGGUGUGUGUUGCCAGUAAUGGUUGAAGAUAUGCCAAACAAAUUGUGCCUCUCUAUACAGACAGAUUUCAGGUCUCAAUUUCGACUUCAAAGGUCAACAUAUCACUGAUAUCAGGAAUUCUGUACAACUGUGGAACCAUGUAUGGUACGUGACCGCACAAUGUUGGUUGGCAAAAGGAUAUUGGAAUAAGCAAAGGGACUCAACAUUACACAGUCAUUUCAACAUGUAGAGUCUUGUCAGCAAUGAUGGAGCAGUACAUCAGAUUUCCAGAAUCUCGUCAUGAGCUGAAGAUCAUUGCCUAUGGAUUUCAUGAAUGAUGUAGAAUGAUUGGACUGUUGAUGGAACCCACAGUGCAUGUCCUGCUUCAACAUCUGAGCAUAGGUCCUUGUUUAUCAGCAGUUUAGUUCAUCAAGCAGUCUGUGACAGUAACUUGAAAUGUUUGGACAUAUGACCUGGAUGGCCAAGUUCUGUGCAUGAUGCCCAUUUAAAUAGGAACGGCCCAGUGGCGCAUUAAAUGGACAUUUUUCGAAUGUUCUCGAGGAUUCAGCUUACCGCCUGACAAGAAAUCUUGCUUUUUGUUCCGUAUCGAGGCCAUAGACAUUUGUAUCAUUUGCAAAAGAUACUGCGAUAUUUGUGCCUUUGUUCAUGCUUUAUAGUUGAUUAACAAUUGGAAGCCAUAACCUGUUUUAUAGGAUGGUGUUAGUGGGACAAUGAAUUUUGUAAAGAUUUAAAGACUGGAAAAGAUAAUUAAAAGUCAAAAGAGUUCUGCUAUUGUUAAGCAUGCUUUAUUGAUUUGUAAUGUUAGAAAGAUAGCAUUAUUAACAGAAUAAAAUGUCCAUAAUUUGAA